GAUGAAGAACGCAGCGAAAUGCGAUAAGUAGUGUGAAUUGCAGAAUUCAGUGAAUCAUCGAAUCUUUGAACGCACAUUGCGCCCCUUGGUAUUCCAUGGGGCAUGCCUGUUCGAGCGUCAUUUCACCACUCAAGCCUGGCUUGGUGUUGGGCGACGUCCCCUUUGGGGACGCGCCUCGAAACGCUCGGCGGCGUGGCACCGGCUUUAAGCGUAGCAGAAUCUUUCGCUUUGGAAGUCGGGGCCCCGUCUGCCGGAAGACCUACUCGCAAGGUUGACCUCGGAUCAGGCAGGGAUACCCGCUGAACUUAAGCAUAUCAAUAAGCGGAGGA
Molecule: unclassified non-coding RNA, 329 nt
Filed under: soil metagenome
Description: partial contains 5.8S ribosomal RNA, internal transcribed spacer 2, and large subunit ribosomal RNA
Rfam family: 5.8S ribosomal RNA (bases 1-120)
Source: RNAcentral